Brassica napus (rape) is the source of this 1313-nucleotide long non-coding RNA. RefSeq lists it as uncharacterized. Lineage: Eukaryota; Viridiplantae; Streptophyta; Magnoliopsida; Brassicales; Brassicaceae. The record is from RefSeq and is a predicted model, not a curated record. The transcript has 2 exons.
UACUUGUUUGAUUGGAACGUAGAGAGAUAUGUAUGGUGUUUAUGUGGAGUCAUAGUUUCUCUUCUGUGUUGAAUUGAUCUUUGAUUUUACUUAGCAUAUGAGCAUCUGACUUUUUCUGCUGAUCUUAUUGAAUGUUAAAGCUUUAACUUGUUUGAACCUUGAAACGUUGUGAGCUGUGUUUAAAAUGGCGCUCGCCUUUUGCGCCAUGGCGCAAGGCGCACUCAGGCGAUGGCUCUGUCGCCAUGUACCACCUAGGCGAGGGUGGGUUCCCUAAGGCGCGCGCCAUGGGUGCCUUGUCGAGAAGGCGAGCAUGGCAAAGGCGAGCGUAAGGCGAGAUUAAUGUAAACCGUAUCUAAACCAUAUAAGCCUUAAUUAAUAAUUAAACCUUAGACUUUUUUGCUCAAAAAAAAAAAAAAUUAAACCUUAGACUUUAAAAAAACUUAACCGGGGAAACUUAAACGCCAAACCCUAGCUUUAUAAAAGAGAAGUUACGUAAAACAUAGAUCUAGAUCUCAAGGUUUUUUGCUUAAGGUUAGAACUCUCUAGUAUAAUAAAGCUUGCAUCUUAUUUAAAUUUAGUAUAUCAAUCAUUGCAUAAGUGUUCUCUAAGUUUCUUCUCCAAUACAAAACAAAACAAGACGUAACUAAAAUGACGUAACUAAAAUUUUCUUCAAGGCGAGCGCCAUAUUGCGCCAUGGCGCGAGGCGCAAGGCUCGGCACGUCUCGCCUUGGUGCGCCAUGCGCCAUUUUAAACACAGGUUGUGAGAAUAUAAAGGAGAGAACUUUGAUGUUUCAUCUUGAUGUAUUAGUUCUUUUGCAAGGUUUUGUUCUUUUAUGAUCUCAGUUUUAGUUCUAUUUUGCUCGGUCUCUACAAGAAAAUAAAAUGGUGAUGUGAAGCUUUGUUUAUCUUUGCAGGAUGUUGAAGUACUGAUGCAUGCCAAGACGAGAGAAUUUGAUCAUUAUAAGGGAUGGAGCUUGUUAAAUGAUGAGACAUAACAAACGUGGUGGGAGGGUUAAGUUACAGCCUAUGGUGAUGCCAAAACCCGUCUCCGUUGCGUUUGGCAGGUAACUCUCUCCUUCUCCAUCUUCUAGGGUUUAUGGGGUUGGCUGACGUCCAGCUCCUCUUUUCGGCUCUGAUCGAUUCUAUGUACAAGAAUCUCCAGUUUUUUAGGACAAGGAUGGAUUAGAACUGUGUUCUUUGUUUUUUCUUGUUGAAAUGUUCAUGGGUUGAGUUUCAUUGCAAACUGGUUAUAAAUUUUGCUUAGUUUGUAUGAUUCCUCAGGUUUUGAUUAGUUGUAGUGACUUUUGUUGAUG